Molecule: ribosomal RNA, 900 nt
Filed under: Globisporangium minor
Lineage: Eukaryota; Oomycota; Peronosporomycetes; Pythiales; Pythiaceae
Description: eukaryotic LSU rRNA
Rfam family: 5.8S ribosomal RNA (bases 253-407)
Source: RNAcentral
CCACACCAAAAACAACUUUCCACGUGAACUGUCUUACGAGAUUCGCGCCGUGACGCGUGUUGACGCUGUGUGUGUUUGUGUCUUCUUUCGAGAGGAUAUUGUGAUGCAAACAGUGUUGACCGUGUGGGUCGGCUGAUCGAAGGUCGCUUUGUGCAUUAUUGUAUGGAGCGGCUGACUUAUUCUUUCAAACCCAUUACACAAUACUACUGAUUCAUACUGUGAGGACGAAAGUCUUUGCUUUUACUAGAUAACAACUUUCAGCAGUGGAUGUCUAGGCUCGCACAUCGAUGAAGAACGCUGCGAACUGCGAUACGUAAUGCGAAUUGCAGAAUUCAGUGAGUCAUCGAAAUUUUGAACGCAUAUUGCACUUUCGGGUUAUGCCUGGAAGUAUGUCUGUAUCAGUGUCCGUAAAUCAACCUUGCCUCUCUUUGUCGGUGUAGUCCGGCUUGGAGUGUGCAGAUGUGAAGUGUCUCGCGCUACGUCAGUUUGAUGCUAUGCAAUAAGACUAGGCGCGCGAGUCCUUUGAAAACGACACGAUCUUUCUAUUGCUUUCUGUGGAGCGCGACAAUUGAACGCGGCGGUCUUGGGAUCGCCUGCAGUCGAUAGCGACUUUGGCAGAGACAUAUGGAGGAUACCUCAUUUCGCGGUACGUUAGGCUUCGGCUCGACAAUGUUGCGUAGUGUGUGUGUUUUUCCGUCUUUGCUUUGAGGUGUACUGUUGAUUGUGGGCUUGAACCUGGGUUCUGUGUGUUAGUAGAGUGUGGCUGUCUCUGUGGUUUGCGUCUGCGUGCUAUUUCGGUCGCACGUAGGUAGGAGGGUUCCAUUUGGGAAACAUUGUACUGCGCACUGGAAAGUGUGUGUGUAUCUCACUUGGACCUGAUAUCAGACAAGACUACCCGCU